UGUUUUCAAUUCAUAGUAACGCAGCGCGCGAUUGCGGUACUGUGCGUUGAAAAAUAUG
RNAcentral lists this microRNA precursor (58 nucleotides) under Panagrellus redivivus. RNAcentral's name for it is "microRNA prd-mir-7920 precursor". The record is from miRBase by way of RNAcentral. Lineage: Eukaryota; Metazoa; Nematoda; Chromadorea; Rhabditida; Panagrolaimidae.